UACGUAGGGAGCAAGCGUUAUCCGGAUUUAUUGGGUGUAAAGGGUGCGUAGACGGGAAAGCAAGUUAGUUGUGAAAUCCCUCGGCUUAACUGAGGAACUGCAACUAAAACUACUUUUCUUGAGUGUUGGAGAGGAAAGUGGAAUUCCUAGUGUAGCGGUGAAAUGCGUAGAUAUUAGGAGGAACACCGGUGGCGAAGGCGACUUUCUGGACAAUAACUGACGUUGAGGCACGAAAGUGUGGGGAGCAAACAGGAUUAGAUACCCUGGUAGUCCACACCGUAAACGAUGGAUACUAGGUGUAGGGAACAUUAAGUUUUCUGUGCCGUCGCAAACGCAAUAAGUAUCCCACCUGGGGAGUACGGCCGCAAGGUUGAA
This 375-nucleotide ribosomal RNA is filed under the name uncultured bacterium. RNAcentral describes it as "bacterial SSU rRNA". It matches the Rfam family "Bacterial small subunit ribosomal RNA", at positions 524 to 898 of the family's 1533-position model. The record is from RNAcentral.